Molecule: long non-coding RNA, 1198 nt
Filed under: Ananas comosus (pineapple)
Lineage: Eukaryota; Viridiplantae; Streptophyta; Magnoliopsida; Poales; Bromeliaceae
Description: long non-coding RNA (ACOM_LNC007605)
Source: RNAcentral
AAAAACUUUCAGAUAACUUAAGUUAAAUAAAUUUUAAAAUUAGACACCAAAAUUUAAAGAAAAACUUCAAAUACUACUUUUGUGGUUUCACACUUUCUCAUUUUAGUACUAUGUGGUUUCAACUAUAUCAAUUAAGUGCCUUGUGAUUUUAUUUUUAUCUUUUAAUUAUUAAUUCUACUAAAUUUUUUUGUUAAAUCAGUGACAAAGUUAAAACUAAAGGGUACUAAAAUAAAUAUUCGAUAAACUUAGGUACGGUAUCUGAAGUUUUUUUGUAUAUAAUUUAACGAAAUAUUAAUAGAGGGGCCAAAAAAAAAAAAGAAACCACAGGGUACUAAAUUGAUACAUUUUAAACUAUAGGGUACUAAAGUGAGAAAGUGCGAAAUCACAUGGUACUAAAUUGAUAUACUUUAAACCACAGGGUACUAAAGUAAAAAAGUGCGAAAUUAUAAAGAUGGUAUUUGAAUUUUUUCCUAAAUUUUAAAAUUAGACACCAAAAAUUAAAAUUCUAAAAAACUGAAAUAGCUAAAAUAUAUUAAAAUUUAGAAAAGUAGGUUUGUUAAUAUUUUAAUUUUAUAGGAAUAUAUUUGUAAUUAUUUCAUGACUAAACCAGUCCUCCACAUGUGACGACAUCAGUCAACACACGCACUGUUGCUGUCAGCCGACAACGUAAAUUAAAUGAUGGGAAGGGUUAAUUGCAUCAUUACCCCCAACCUUAACCCUUUAUUUUAUUUGGUCCUUAACUCUUUUUUGUGUACUAUACUGUUUGUAAUCUUACAUCUUAGCCCAUCUAAAGGCUAUAAUUAACAUUCCGUCUUUUUUUUUAAUUAAAUUAACUCCUUACCUUUUUUCUGAUUUUUUUUUCUAUUAUGUUUCUGACCUUAAUUUUUUACUCAAUCAUGUCAAAGUCAUCUAAAUUUAUAUUAAUUUUGAUAAUAAAUCACGUUAGCUUUAAUAAAAUUUUUUAAUUUAUAUAGAUCACGGUUGUAAUUUGAUGGCCACCGAUAGUAUUCUGACUGUACGUCAAGAAUGUCAAAUGCUUCAAAAGAGACAGUACAUUUUAUUUAUAAGAUCAUGAUAAUUAUAGGUGUUGAUAAAAUUUUGCAUGCAUAUAAAAAAAAGGUAAAUAAAGAUUAAAAUGUGAAAAGUGAAAAAUGUUAGGAACUAUAAUAGUUCAAUUUAUUUUAAAAGUUUUAAUUAA